Long non-coding RNA from Ceratitis capitata (Mediterranean fruit fly), 234 nucleotides. RefSeq lists it as uncharacterized. The record is from RefSeq and is a predicted model, not a curated record. Lineage: Eukaryota; Metazoa; Arthropoda; Insecta; Diptera; Tephritidae. The transcript has 2 exons.
CCAAAAAAAAUUAGAAAUCUUACCAGUCUUUAUAAGAGCAAGUUAAACUUAAACCCACAACCCAAAAACCGCAAGCAUGAAGCUUUAUUAUCUUUACGGCGCAUUGUUCCUAAUAUUGGCUGCAUUUUCUAUGAAAGCACAGGCGAAGCCAUGUCACGAAAAUGAUCCUAUCGAGCCUACUCCGGAACCAACACCCAACGAUUAGUGAAAUUAAUUUGAGAAACUAUAUUUUUU